GUCAGGAUGGCCGAGCGGUCUAAGGCGCUGCGUUCAGGUCGCAGUCCGGUCUUCCGGGCGUGGGUUCGAAUCCCACUCCUGACA
This 84-nucleotide transfer RNA is filed under the name Homarus americanus (American lobster). Its description in RNAcentral is "tRNA-Leu". It matches the Rfam family "tRNA". From Rfam's summary of the family: Transfer RNA (tRNA) molecules are approximately 80 nucleotides in length. Lineage: Eukaryota; Metazoa; Arthropoda; Malacostraca; Decapoda; Nephropidae. RNAcentral also lists the same sequence under 4 other names. The record is from Rfam by way of RNAcentral.